UCGCCGACGGGUUUCCUGCCCCGUCGGCGCCUCGGCCUCGCCAGUGCGCCCCCAACGCCCUGGCGAGGCCACUCC
Molecule: small RNA, 75 nt
Filed under: Caulobacter vibrioides NA1000
Lineage: Bacteria; Pseudomonadati; Pseudomonadota; Alphaproteobacteria; Caulobacterales; Caulobacteraceae
Description: small non-coding RNA
Source: RNAcentral